This 526-nucleotide ribosomal RNA is filed under the name uncultured eukaryote. Its description in RNAcentral is "SSU rRNA". It matches the Rfam family "Eukaryotic small subunit ribosomal RNA", at positions 75 to 603 of the family's 1831-position model. The record is from RNAcentral.
UAUACAGCGAAACUGCGAAUGGCUCAUUAUAUAAGUUAUCGUUUAUUUGAUAGUGCCUUACUACUUGGAUAACCGUGGUAAUUCUAGAGCUAAUACAUGCUAAAAACCCCGACUUCGGAAGGGGUGUAUUUAUUAGAUACAAAACCAAUGCCCUUCGGGGCUCUUUGGUGAUUCAUGAUAACUAUACGAAUCGCACGGCCUUGCGCCGGCGAUGGUUCAUUCAAAUUUCUUCCCUAUCAACUUUCGAUGUUUGGGUAUUGGCCAAACAUGGUUGCAACGGGUAACGGAGGGUUAGGGCUCGACCCCGGAGAAGGAGCCUGAGAAACGGCUACUACAUCCAAGGAAGGCAGCAGGCGCGCAAAUUACCCAAUCCCGACUCGGGGAGGUAGUGACAAUAAAUACUGAUACAGGGCCCUUUCGGGCCUUGUAAUUGGAAUGAGUACAAUUUAAAUCCCUUAACGAGGAACAAUUGGAGGGCAAGUCUGGUGCCAGCAGCCGCGGGUAAUUCCAGCUCCAAUAGCGUAUA